UACGUAGGGUGCAGGCGUUAAUCGGAAUUACUGGGCGUAAAGCGUGCGCAGGCGGUCUUUUAAGUCAGAUGUGAAAUCCCCGGGCUCAACCUGGGAACUGCAUCUGUGACUGCAUCGCUGGAGUGCGGCAGAGGGGGAUGGAAUUCCGCGUGUAGCAGUGAAAUGCGUAGAUAUGCGGAGGAACACCGAUGGCGAAGGCAAUCCCCUGGGCCUGCACUGACGCUCAUGCACGAAAGCGUGGGGAGCAAACAGG
RNAcentral lists this ribosomal RNA (253 nucleotides) under uncultured bacterium. Its description in RNAcentral is "partial 16S ribosomal RNA". It matches the Rfam family "Bacterial small subunit ribosomal RNA", at positions 524 to 776 of the family's 1533-position model. The record is from RNAcentral.